AUCCUUUUUGACUCAUAAGUAUGAUGAUUAGGUAUCCAUGCCUUUGGGAGACAUAUGACUCCCACAAACCUGGUUAUGACAUCGGAACGUUACCCAUCUGAGA
RNAcentral lists this small nucleolar RNA (103 nucleotides) under Neotoma lepida (desert woodrat). RNAcentral's name for it is "Small nucleolar RNA U13". It matches the Rfam family "Small nucleolar RNA U13". Lineage: Eukaryota; Metazoa; Chordata; Mammalia; Rodentia; Cricetidae. The record is from Rfam by way of RNAcentral.